UACGUAGGGGGCAAGCGUUAUCCGGAUUUACUGGGUGUAAAGGGAGCGUAGACGGCAGUGCAAGUCCGGAGUGAAAGCCCGGGGCUCAACCCCGGGACUGCAUUUGGAACUGUUAAGCUGGAGUGUCGGAGAGGCAGGCGGAAUUCCUAGUGUAGCGGUGAAAUGCGUAGAUAUUAGGAGGAACACCAGUGGCGAAGGCGGCCUGCUGGACGAUAACUGACGUUGAGGCUCGAAAGCGUGGGGAGCAAACGGG
This 253-nucleotide ribosomal RNA is filed under the name uncultured bacterium. RNAcentral's name for it is "partial 16S ribosomal RNA". It matches the Rfam family "Bacterial small subunit ribosomal RNA", at positions 524 to 776 of the family's 1533-position model. The record is from RNAcentral.